This 1075-nucleotide ribosomal RNA is filed under the name human gut metagenome. RNAcentral describes it as "bacterial SSU rRNA". It matches the Rfam family "Bacterial small subunit ribosomal RNA", at positions 8 to 1073 of the family's 1533-position model. The record is from RNAcentral.
AGAGUUUGAUCCUGGCUCAGAUUGAACGCUGGCGGCAUGCUUUACACAUGCAAGUCGAACGGCAGCAUAGAGAGCUUGCUCUCUGAUGGCGAGUGGCGAACGGGUGAGUAAUACAUCGGAACGUGUCCGUUUGUGGGGGACAACCACCCGAAAGGGUGGCUAAUACCGCAUAAGACCUGAGGGUGAAAGCCGGGGACCGCAAGGCCUGGCGCGAACGGAGCGGCCGAUGACUGAUUAGCUGGUUGGCGGGGUAAAGGCCCACCAAGGCGACGAUCAGUAGCUGGUCUGAGAGGACGACCAGCCACACUGGAACUGAGACACGGUCCAGACUCCUACGGGAGGCAGCAGUGGGGGAUUUUGGACAAUGGGGGCAACCCUGAUCCAGCCAUGCCGCGUGCGGGAAGAAGGCCUUCGGGUUGUAAACCGCUUUUGUCAGGGACGAAAAGGUGCGGGUUAAGAGCUAGCACUGAUGACGGUACCUGAAGAAUAAGCACCGGCUAACUACGUGCCAGCAGCCGCGGUAAUACGUAGGGUGCGAGCGUUAAUCGGAAUUACUGGGCGUAAAGCGUGCGCAGGCGGUUGGGUAAGACAGAUGUGAAAUCCCCGGGCUUAACCUGGGAACUGCAUUUGUGACUGUCCGACUGGAGUAUGUCAGAGGGGGGUGGAAUUCCAAGUGUAGCAGUGAAAUGCGUAGAUAUUUGGAAGAACACCGAUGGCGAAGGCAGCCCCCUGGGGCAAAACUGACGCUCAUGCACGAAAGCGUGGGGAGCAAACAGGAUUAGAUACCCUGGUAGUCCACGCCCUAAACGAUGUCUACUGGUUGUUGGAGGGUAAAACCUUCAGUAACGAAGCUAACGCGUGAAGUAGACCGCCUGGGGAGUACGGUCGCAAGAUUAAAACUCAAAGGAAUUGACGGGGACCCGCACAAGCGGUGGAUGAUGUGGAUUAAUUCGAUGCAACGCGAAAAACCUUACCUAGCCUUGACAUGUCAGGAACGCUCCGGAGAUGGGGCGGUGCCCGCAAGGGAACCUGAGCACAGGUGCUGCAUGGCUGUCGUCAGCUCGUGUCGUGAGAU